This 497-nucleotide ribosomal RNA is filed under the name uncultured maize root bacterium Zmrc21. RNAcentral describes it as "bacterial SSU rRNA". It matches the Rfam family "Bacterial small subunit ribosomal RNA", at positions 971 to 1464 of the family's 1533-position model. The record is from RNAcentral.
UUACCAGCCCUUGACAUCCCGGUCGCGGAUCACAGAGAUGAGAUCCUUCAGUUCGGGCUGGACCGGUGACAGGUGCUGCAUGGCUGUCGUCAGCUCGUGUCGUGAGAUGUUGGGUUAAGUCCCGCAACGAGCGCAACCCUCGCCCCUAGUUGCCAGCAUUAAGUUGGGCACUCUAGGGGGACUGCCGGUGAUAAGCCGCGAGGAAGGUGGGGACGACGUCAAGUCCUCAUGGCCCUUACGGGCUGGGCUACACACGUGCUACAAUGGCGGUGACAGUGGGAUGCAAAGGGGCGACCCCUCGCAAAUCUCCAAAAGCCGUCUCAGUUCAGAUUGCACUCUGCAACUCGAGUGCAUGAAGGUGGAAUCGCUAGUAAUCGUAGAUCAGCAUGCUACGGUGAAUACGUUCCCGGGCCUUGUACACACCGCCCGUCACACCAUGGGAGUUGGUUUUACCCGAAGGCGCUGCGCCAACCGCAAGGAGGCAGGCGACCACGGUA